This 111-nucleotide small nuclear RNA is filed under the name Suricata suricatta (meerkat). RNAcentral's name for it is "U2 spliceosomal RNA (ENSSSUG00005011635.1)". It matches the Rfam family "U2 spliceosomal RNA". From Rfam's summary of the family: U2 is a small nuclear RNA (snRNA) component of the spliceosome (involved in pre-mRNA splicing). Lineage: Eukaryota; Metazoa; Chordata; Mammalia; Carnivora; Herpestidae. The record is from RNAcentral.
AUUACUUCUCGGCCCUUUGGCUAAGAUCAAGCAUAGUGUCUGUUCUUACCAGUCAGUGUCUGACUCAUCUCUGGCCCUGCUUCUAUUUACUUUUUUCUUCCUUAACUAUAU